UCCCUUGCGAAAAGCCCCCCAAAGUCACUAUAUUAGCGGUGCCGGCUUGCCGGCUAUGGCGAUAAACGUUUGACGGAAUAAGCGUUGCGGACCCGGGGGCAGUGCCCGGC
This 110-nucleotide transfer-messenger RNA is filed under the name Rhodospirillales bacterium. Its description in RNAcentral is "partial transfer-messenger RNA". It matches the Rfam family "Alphaproteobacteria transfer-messenger RNA", at positions 1 to 109 of the family's 355-position model. Rfam says of the family: Bacterial tmRNA, also known as 10Sa RNA or SsrA, is named for its dual tRNA and mRNA-like properties. Its role is to liberate the mRNA from a stalled ribosome. The record is from RNAcentral. Lineage: Bacteria; Pseudomonadati; Pseudomonadota; Alphaproteobacteria; Rhodospirillales.